ACAACACCAGAAGAAGAAGAACGUCAUUUCCGGUACCUUUAUCCCCUCUAGUGUAUGUGCAGCUCUUAUGAGCAGCUAAAAAUGUAAAUAAACUUUUUUGUCAAAGUUUUUUGUAACCUCUACGACUUCGCAAAUAUGUUUUCUUCCCUAUGGAGCUUUGUUAAACGCCAUAAGAAGAAAUUUAUUUUCACGGGAGUGAUGGUUUCAGGAGUUUACCUGCUGGGUAAAUACGCCCAGAAGAAGCUGAAGGAGGUCCAGGAGAAGGAGGCUGCAGAGUACAUCGCUCAGGCCAGAAGGCAGUUCCACUUUGACAGCAACCAGAGAACCUGCAACAUGACGGUGUUGUCCAUGCUCCCCCCACUCCGAGAGGCCAUUAUGACCCAUCUGAACUCAGAGAGUCUGACUACACUGCUGAAAACCAAACCAGCCAACAAGUUGGAGAUCUGGGAGGAUCUGAAGAUUAUUAGUUUUACACGGACCAUAGUAGCUGUGUACAGCACCUGUAUGCUUGUGGUUCUGCUCAGAGUCCAGCUCAACAUCAUUGGGGGGUACCUGUACCUGGAUAACUCUGCAGGCAGGAGCCCAACGACGCCUCUGGCUCCUCCAGACGUCCAGCAGCAGUACCUGUCCAGCAUCCAACACCUGCUGGGAGACGGUCUGAUGGAACUGAUCAGUGUGGUGAAGAGGGCAGUGCACAGCUCCUUAUCGGGCGUGUCCCUGAAGCAGAGCCUGUCCCUGCUGGACAUGGAGCAGCAGCUCAGCUGGAUCAGAGCCGAGGUGGAGGGGCCUUCUGGGCGCCCGCUGUCCUGGUACCUGCUGUCUGAUGAUGAGAGCGCGCUCGCUGAUCAGGCGUGCGGACUCACGGAGUACGACGUCAUGACCAUCAGACUGCUGAACGAGACGCGGGACAUGCUGGACAGUCCAGACUUCUCUGCCGUGCUCGCCGCCUGCCUGAACCGGGCUUUCUCUCGUCUUCUUGACAACCUGGCAGAGUUUUUCCGCCCGCCUCAGGGUGGCUCCACCCCCUCCUCUGCACCUGACAGAGCCGUUCUCACCUGUGACUGUCUCUGUGCUCAGCCUGUCUGUGGUCAGUCUCCCUCUGGCUAAGAUCGUCCCCAUAGUCAACGGUCAGAUCAACAACAUCUGCAGCGACGCCCCCAGCCCCUUCGUGCAGGACCUGUUGAUGAGCGACCACAUGAAGAAGUUUGCUGCCAACGUUUACGAGACCUUCAGCACGCCACAGGAGCUGCAGAAAUGACCUGAACUGGCUGCACAUGCUGACCCCGUCUCCUUCAACAGUCGCCUUGAAUGAGAGAUCGUUUGAAGCAAAGCCUACAGCCCCCAGCUGAGUGUGGCCGUCAGACCCGCUCUCCUGUGGACUUAUGCUUCAGCGCGUUCCGACUGGAGCCGACCUGAACACUAAUUCUGGUGAAAGUUUCCCUCAGAGUUGUGGAGGCUGCAGAGCUGUGGGAGGCUGUGCCGCAGCGUCCUAUAAGAAAUUCUGAGCGAUGGUUGGGGGUGAAGGUUAUCUGUCCCAUCUGUUUGUAAUUUUUAAUAAAAGUUUUGUCUGUA
Oryzias melastigma (Indian medaka) is the source of this 1572-nucleotide RNA transcript. It is a transcript of the gene named peroxisomal biogenesis factor 3, with no coding region annotated. The record is from RefSeq and is a predicted model, not a curated record. The transcript is spliced from 12 exons. NCBI's taxonomy places the organism in Eukaryota, Metazoa, Chordata, Actinopteri, Beloniformes, Adrianichthyidae.